This is a ribosomal RNA of 717 nucleotides. The stretch from base 323 to 468 matches the Rfam family "Archaeal large subunit ribosomal RNA", at positions 1889 to 2083 of the family's 2987-position model.
AUUUGUAGAUUAUACUCCGUGUGUAGCAUAAUACGGUAUAAAGAUAUAAUUAGGUGUGAUAGGCUUAUCAAAGACCAGGAUAUCUUGAUAGCGCUUAAACGUAUUAAGUACGUAAAACAAAUAUAAAGUGUUUAGGCUUUAUAUAACUUUAAAUUAGAUUUUGGGAUGGGAUGGUUUAAUCGUCUUUAAAUUAAUCACACUAAUAUUAAUUUUCCUCUAAUUGACAAGAGUACGUGCUUCUAUUAUAAUAAAGGUGUGUAGUAAUAAUGUUACUAUAAGUAAUAAUAAAGGCGUUUAUAAUGAACUCGGCAACUAAUAUUCUCGACUGUUUAUCAAAAACAUAGCUGUAUGUAAUUAUAUAUAGUUAUUUCUGCUCAAUGUAAUUAUAAAUGGCCGCAGUACUCUGACUGUGCAAAGGUAGCAUAAUCAAUUGGCUUAUAAUUGAAGUCUAGUAUGAAAGAAAAUAUGGGAAUAGACUAUAUAAUAGACGUUCGUUUUGAAAUUACUUAAUAAGUGAAAAAGACUUAUAUUUCAAAUAAUAGACGAGAAGACCCUAGAAAUUUUUAAAAAUUAUAAUAUAUAGGUUUUUGUUGGGGCGACACAGUAGCAGUAUAACCUACUAAGGUGAAUAUGAUUAUUGUAUUAGGAAUAAUUAAAUUACUCUAGGGAUAACAGCAUAAUAUUUUAAAGUUUGUGACCUCGAUGUUGGACUAGGAU